Molecule: transfer RNA, 66 nt
Filed under: Tetragonula pagdeni
Lineage: Eukaryota; Metazoa; Arthropoda; Insecta; Hymenoptera; Apidae
Description: tRNA-Val
Source: RNAcentral
AAAAUUUUAGUUUAUAUAAAACCUUUUAUUUACAAUAAAUUUAACUAGAGUGUUCUAGAAAUUUUU